This 76-nucleotide transfer RNA is filed under the name Desulfomicrobium apsheronum. Its description in RNAcentral is "tRNA_Thr_TGT". It matches the Rfam family "tRNA". Rfam says of the family: Transfer RNA (tRNA) molecules are approximately 80 nucleotides in length. Their secondary structure includes four short double-helical elements and three loops (D, anti-codon, and T loops). Lineage: Bacteria; Pseudomonadati; Thermodesulfobacteriota; Desulfovibrionia; Desulfovibrionales; Desulfomicrobiaceae. The record is from RNAcentral.
GCUGGCGUAGCUCAACUGGUAGAGUAGCUGACUUGUAAUCAGCAGGUUGCGGGUUCAAGUCCCAUCGCCAGCUCCA